CAGUAGCCGCGGUAAUGCGUAGGGUGCGAGCGUUAAUCGGAAUUACUGGGCGUAAAGCGUGCGCAGGCGGUUGUGUAAGACAGGUGUGAAAUCCCCGGGCUUAACCUGGGAACUGCGCUUGUGACUGCACAGCUAGAGUAUAGCAGAGGGGGGUGGAAUUCCACGUGUAGCAGUGAAAUGCGUAGAGAUGUGGAGGAACACCGAUGGCGAAGGCAGCCCCCUGGGCCAAUACUGACGCUCAUGCACGAAAGCGUGGGGAGCAAACAGGAUUAGAUACCCCCGUAGUCCCUGUCUCUUAUAC
RNAcentral lists this ribosomal RNA (301 nucleotides) under uncultured bacterium. RNAcentral's name for it is "partial 16S ribosomal RNA". It matches the Rfam family "Bacterial small subunit ribosomal RNA", at positions 509 to 807 of the family's 1533-position model. The record is from RNAcentral.